UUGGAGGGCAAGUCUGGUGCCAGCAGCCGCGGUAAUUCCAGCUCCAAUAGCGUAUAUUAAAGUUGUUGCCGUUAAAAAGCUCGUAGUUGAACCUUGGGCCUGGCUGAUCUGUCCUCCUAAUCGAGCGCACGGAUUCGGUCGGGCCUUUCCUUCUGGGGAGCCCGAUGUCCUUCACUGGGUGUCGCGGGGAACCAGGACUUUUACCUUGAAAAAAUUACGAGUGUUCAAAGCAGGCCUUUGCUCGAAUACAUUAGCAUGGAAUAAUAGAAUAGGACAG
RNAcentral lists this ribosomal RNA (277 nucleotides) under uncultured Ascomycota. RNAcentral's name for it is "partial 18S ribosomal RNA". It matches the Rfam family "Eukaryotic small subunit ribosomal RNA", at positions 548 to 830 of the family's 1831-position model. Lineage: Eukaryota; Fungi; Ascomycota. The record is from RNAcentral.